ACAAAUUUCGGGCCGUCGGCCUACCGAACAACAUUACCCACUCGAUGGAAGAUCUUCCCUUCGUCGC
This 67-nucleotide microRNA precursor is filed under the name Bombyx mori (domestic silkworm). Its description in RNAcentral is "mir-2774 microRNA precursor family". It matches the Rfam family "mir-2774 microRNA precursor family". The record is from Rfam by way of RNAcentral. Lineage: Eukaryota; Metazoa; Arthropoda; Insecta; Lepidoptera; Bombycidae.